Molecule: transfer RNA, 74 nt
Filed under: Elusimicrobia bacterium RIFOXYD2_FULL_34_15
Lineage: Bacteria; Pseudomonadati; Elusimicrobiota
Description: tRNA-Gly
Rfam family: tRNA
About the family: Transfer RNA (tRNA) molecules are approximately 80 nucleotides in length. Their secondary structure includes four short double-helical elements and three loops (D, anti-codon, and T loops).
Source: RNAcentral
GCGGGUGUAGUACAAUGGUAGUAUGCAAGCUUCCCAAGCUUGAAACGUGGGUUCGAUUCCCAUCACCCGCUCAA